This 253-nucleotide ribosomal RNA is filed under the name uncultured bacterium. RNAcentral describes it as "partial 16S ribosomal RNA". It matches the Rfam family "Bacterial small subunit ribosomal RNA", at positions 524 to 776 of the family's 1533-position model. The record is from RNAcentral.
UACAGAGGUCUCAAGCGUUGUUCGGAUUCAUUGGGCGUAAAGGGUGCGUAGGCGGUCGGGUAAGUCUGACGUGAAAUCUCCGGGCUUAACCCGGAAACUGCCAUUGAUACUAUUUGUCUUGAAUACUGUGGAGGUCAGCGGAAUAUGUCAUGUAGCGGUGAAAUGCUUAGAUAUGACAUAGAACACCAAUUGCGAAGGCAGCUGGCUACACAAAUAUUGACACCGAGGCACGAAAGCGUGGGGAUCAAACAGG